This 484-nucleotide ribosomal RNA is filed under the name uncultured bacterium. RNAcentral's name for it is "partial 16S ribosomal RNA". It matches the Rfam family "Bacterial small subunit ribosomal RNA", at positions 30 to 507 of the family's 1533-position model. The record is from RNAcentral.
AUUGAACGCUGGCGGCAGGCCUAACACAUGCAAGUCGAGCGGAUGAAGGGAGCUUGCUCCUGGAUUCAGCGGCGGACGGGUGAGUAAUGCCUAGGAAUCUGCCUGGUAGUGGGGGAUAACGUCCGGAAACGGGCGCUAAUACCGCAUACGUCCUGAGGGAGAAAGUGGGGGAUCUUCGGACCUCACGCUAUCAGAUGAGCCUAGGUCGGAUUAGCUAGUUGGUGGGGUAAAGGCCUACCAAGGCGACGAUCCGUAACUGGUCUGAGAGGAUGAUCAGUCACACUGGAACUGAGACACGGUCCAGACUCCUACGGGAGGCAGCAGUGGGGAAUAUUGGACAAUGGGCGAAAGCCUGAUCCAGCCAUGCCGCGUGUGUGAAGAAGGUCUUCGGAUUGUAAAGCACUUUUAGUGGGGAGGAAAAGCAGUAAGUUAAUACCUCGCUGUUUUGACGGUACCAACAGAAUAAGCACCGGCUAACUUCGUG